GACGAACGCUGGCGGCGUGCCUAAUACAUGCAAGUCGAGCGAGAUUAUUUGAGUGCUUGCACUCAAAUAAUCUAGCGGCGGACGGGUGAGUAACACGUGGGCAACCUGCCCUACAGUUUGGGAUAACUCCGGGAAACCGGGGCUAAUACCGAAUAAUCCUUCGAAUCACAUGGUUUGAAGUUGAAAGGCGCUUCGGCGUCGCUGUAGGAUGGGCCCGCGGUGCAUUAGCUAGUUGGUGGGGUAAUGGCCUACCAAGGCAACGAUGCAUAGCCGACCUGAGAGGGUGAUCGGCCACAUUGGGACUGAGACACGGCCCAAACUCCUACGGGAGGCAGCAGUAGGGAAUCUUCCACAAUGGACGAAAGUCUGAUGGAGCAACGCCGCGUGAGUGAUGAAGGUUUUCGGAUCGUAAAACUCUGUUGUAAGGGAAGAACAAGUGCGUUAGGUAAUGAACGCACCUUGACGGUACCUUAUUAGAAAGCCACGGCUAACUACGUGCCAGCCGCCGCAGUAACAC
RNAcentral lists this ribosomal RNA (517 nucleotides) under uncultured bacterium. Its description in RNAcentral is "bacterial SSU rRNA". It matches the Rfam family "Bacterial small subunit ribosomal RNA", at positions 28 to 526 of the family's 1533-position model. The record is from RNAcentral.